RNAcentral lists this unclassified non-coding RNA (234 nucleotides) under Glomeromycetes sp. RNAcentral's name for it is "partial contains 5.8S ribosomal RNA and internal transcribed spacer 2". The stretch from base 1 to 71 matches the Rfam family "5.8S ribosomal RNA", at positions 84 to 154 of the family's 154-position model. Lineage: Eukaryota; Fungi; Glomeromycota; Glomeromycetes. The record is from RNAcentral.
GUGAAUCAUCGAAUUUUUGAACGCAAAUUGCACUCCUUGGUAUUCCGGAGAGCAUGCCUGUUUGAGGGUCAGUAUAUAUACAAAUUGGAGUGGUUGUUGAUUUUAGUGGUGUUGCACCGGACUUGGGUGGUCUUGCCUUAGGUUAAGUGAUCUUAAAUUUUGCAUGAUUUUUUUCGAACGUAUUUAAAUGAUUUUACGUACGUUUGCGAUAUUGAAUCUCAGGUGGGGUCCUCU